RNAcentral lists this ribosomal RNA (805 nucleotides) under uncultured Clostridia bacterium. RNAcentral describes it as "bacterial SSU rRNA". It matches the Rfam family "Bacterial small subunit ribosomal RNA", at positions 69 to 896 of the family's 1533-position model. The record is from RNAcentral. Lineage: Bacteria; Bacillati; Bacillota; Clostridia.
UUUCUUCGGAAUGAUUUUGGGUGGAUUAGUGGCGGACGGGUGAGUAACGCGUGAGUAACCUGCCUUAGAGAAGGGGAUAGCCUUUGGAAACGAAGAAUAAUACCCUAUGACACCAACACCUCGCAUGAAGAGUUGGUCAAAGAUUUAUCGCUCUAAGAUGGACUUGCGUCUGAUUAGUUAGUUGGUGAGGUAACGGCUCACCAAGACAGCGAUCAGUAGCCGGCUUGAGAGAGUGUACGGCCACAUUGGGACUGAGACACGGCCCAGACUCCUACGGGAGGCAGCAGUGGGGAAUUUUGCACAAUGGGGGAAACCCUGAUGCAGCGACGCCGCGUGAUUUAGAAGGCCUUCGGGUUGUAAAAAUCUUUUCUAUGGGAAGAAAAUGACAGUACCAUAGGAAUAAGGACCGGCUAAUUACGUGCCAGCAGCCGCGGUAAUACGUAAGGUCCGAGCGUUGUCCGGAAUCAUUGGGCGUAAAGGGUACGUAGGCGGGUAAGCAAGUUAGAAGUGAAAUCCUAUAGCUCAACUAUAGUAAGCUUUUAAAACUGCUCAUCUUGAGGUAUGGAAGGGAAAGUGGAAUUCCUAGUGUAGCGGUGAAAUGCGCAGAUAUUAGGAGGAAUACCGGUGGCGAAGGCGACUUUCUGGCCAUAACCUGACGCUGAGGUACGAAAGCGUGGGUAGCAAACAGGAUUAGAUACCCUGGUAGUCCACGCCGUAAACGAUGAGUGUUAGGUGUCUGGAGUAAAUCUGGGUGCCGCAGCUAACGCAUUAAACACUCCGCCUGGGGAGUACGCGCGCAAGCGUG